GACGAACGCUGGCGGCGUGCUUAACACAUGCAAGUCGAACGCUGAAGCUCAGCUUUUGUUGGGUGGAUGAGUGGCGAACGGGUGAGUAACACGUGAGUAACCUGCCUCCUUCUUUGGGAUAACGCCCGGAAACGGGUGCUAAUACUGGAUAUUCACUGGUCUUCGCAUGGGGGUUGGUGGAAAGGGUUUUUCUGGUGGGGGAUGGGCUCGCGGCCUAUCAGCUUGUUGGUGGGGUGAUGGCCUACCAAGGCUUUGACGGGUAGCCGGCCUGAGAGGGUGACCGGUCACAUUGGGACUGAGAUACGGCCCAGACUACUACGGGAGGCAGCAGUGGGGAAUAUUGCACAAUGGGCGGAAGACUGAUGCAGCGACGCCGCGUGAGGGAUGGAGGCCUUCGGGUUGUGAACCUCUUUCGCUCAUGGUCAAGCCGCAACAAUGGUUGUGGUGAGGGUAGUGGGUAAAGAAGCGCCGGCUAACUACGUG
Molecule: ribosomal RNA, 483 nt
Filed under: uncultured bacterium
Lineage: Bacteria
Description: partial 16S ribosomal RNA
Rfam family: Bacterial small subunit ribosomal RNA
Source: RNAcentral